CUUGGUUCAGGAUGAACGCUGGCGGCGUGCUUAAUACAUGCAAGUCGAACGAAGCACUUUGACAGAUCCCCUCGGGGUGACGAUGAUUGUGACUAGUGGCGGACGGGUGAGUAACGCGUGGGCAACCUGCCUCAUGCUGGGGGAUAACAGUUAGAAAUGACUGCUAAUACCGCAUAAGCGCACGGUAAGGCAUCUUACAGUGUGAAAAGAUUUAUCGGCAUGAGAUGGACCCCGCGUCUGAUUAGGUAGUUGGUGGGGUAACGGCCUACCAAGCCGACGAUCAGUAGCCGACUUGAGAGAGUGAUCGGCCACAUUGGGACUGAGACACGGCCCAGACUCCUACGGGAGGCAGCAGUAGGGAAUAUUGCACAAUGGGGGGAAACCCUGAUGCAGCGAACCGCCGCGUGAGUGAUGAAGUAUUUCGGUACGUAAAGCUCUAUCAGCAGGGAAGAUGAUGACGGUACCUGACUAAGAAGCCCCGGCUAACUACGUGCCAGCAGCCGC
Molecule: ribosomal RNA, 504 nt
Filed under: uncultured bacterium
Lineage: Bacteria
Description: bacterial SSU rRNA
Rfam family: Bacterial small subunit ribosomal RNA
Source: RNAcentral